AUUGAACGCUGGCGGCAGGCCUAACACAUGCAAGUCGAGCGGCAGCGGGAAAGUAGCUUGCUACUUUUGCCGGCGAGCGGCGGACGGGUGAGUAAUGCCUGGGGAUCUGCCCAGUCGAGGGGGAUAACAGUUGGAAACGACUGCUAAUACCGCAGACGCCCUACGGGGGAAAGGAGGGGACCUUCGGGCCUUUCGCGAUUGGAUGAACCCAGGUGGGAUUAGCUAGUUGGUGGGGUAAUGGCUCACCAAGGCGACGAUCCCUAGCUGGUCUGAGAGGAUGAUCAGCCACACUGGAACUGAGACACGGUCCAGACUCCUACGGGAGGCAGCAGUGGGGAAUAUUGCACAAUGGGGGAAACCCUGAUGCAGCCAUGCCGCGUGUGUGAAGAAGGCCUUCGGGUUGUAAAGCACUUUCAGCGAGGAGGAAAGGUUGUUGGCUAAUACCCAGCAACUGUGACGUUACUCGCAGAAGAAGCACCGGCUAACUCCGUGCCAGCCGCCGCAGUAA
Molecule: ribosomal RNA, 508 nt
Filed under: uncultured bacterium
Lineage: Bacteria
Description: partial 16S ribosomal RNA
Rfam family: Bacterial small subunit ribosomal RNA
Source: RNAcentral